RNAcentral lists this long non-coding RNA (346 nucleotides) under Mytilus galloprovincialis (Mediterranean mussel). The record is from RNAcentral. Lineage: Eukaryota; Metazoa; Mollusca; Bivalvia; Mytilida; Mytilidae.
UAUACGCCUUAUUUUUAGUCCAGAUGUUUAGUAUUCGUAUUGUUAUCUUAGAAAGUCUUACUGAUUAAAAUACUACAAUUUAGUAGUGUCAAUCCUGUGAUUAUGACCCGUGUAUAUAGCAUAUUAAUUCUGAAUACACCGUUUGGUGGUGCGCCUGUCAGAUGCGGAACGUACAGAUAAGGUAAUAGGUAACAGGUGAAUAUACUAUUGGUAUCGGUAUCGGACUCGACCCGGAACUUCUUAAUUAUCGGCAAUAUUAAUUACGUGGAAAACAAAAGGGCCUGGAGUGGUGUAAUUUUUAAUCUACACCUUGGUACUAUAUUAGUUAUAUAUAAAGUUGAAUUCU